UCCCCUGUGUAUGUCUGUACGUGUGCAUCUGAAAUAAGAACAAUAGUGACGACAACAACACCAACAACAACAACAACAACAACAAUAACAAAAACUCGCAAUCCAAAACAAUAAUAUGGCGACGACCGAAGAUAAAUGAACGGGGAAAUAUUUACAUCUGAUUGCUAAUGAGUUGCGCCCCUAACUAUUCUCCAUCCAGACCAACGAACCAACCAACGAACAAACCAACCAGCUAUUCAGAUUCUCAAUCAUUUGAGGAAUUUACUUCACCAGGCAACAAACGGUCCUGGCACUUCGUUGUUGGCUGCCAUCUUGAGUGGUCUUUCACAGUUUUCCGUUAGCACAGAGAAAUUAGGAUUAAUUCGAUGUAUAAUAUACAUGCAUACACACACACACAAACACACACACCACUCAAACACACACACACACACAAACACACACACCACUCAAACACACACACACACACAUAUAUUUAUUUAAGUACAUUUGCGUUAUGUACCUACAAACACACAUCCCCACACCUUUGCAUACAAUCAUAAAUACAUAUACACACAUAAAUAUAUGCCUGCCAACAAACGUAGAAAUGCACAAAUAUAUUCAUGAAUGUGUGGGUGUAAAGGUUGUGUGUUCUAUAUGCACACAUACAUACACACACACACACACACCAUACACACACGUAUACACACACACACACACAAACACACACACUCACACCGAUAGGCACAGUCACACACAUAAAUGUAUAAAUAUUUAUACCAGUGUAUAUCAGUACGUAUAUUAACAAAUGUAUACAUAUGUUAUAUGAAUGUAUGUCUACACAC
Long non-coding RNA from Octopus bimaculoides (California two-spot octopus), 821 nucleotides. RefSeq lists it as uncharacterized. The record is from RefSeq and is a predicted model, not a curated record. NCBI's taxonomy places the organism in Eukaryota, Metazoa, Mollusca, Cephalopoda, Octopoda, Octopodidae.